RNAcentral lists this long non-coding RNA (1761 nucleotides) under Canis lupus familiaris (dog). RNAcentral describes it as "lncRNA (ENSCAFG00000041978.2)". The record is from RNAcentral. Lineage: Eukaryota; Metazoa; Chordata; Mammalia; Carnivora; Canidae.
CGCCCCGAGGCGCGUUUAGGGCGCGCCUGCCGCGAGCUGGUCCGAGGGGGGGGCCCUCCCCCGGGCCCCGCAACCAGAUAAAACCCGCGCGCUCGACUGCGAGCCGCCACGGCCUGGAGCGCGCGCCCGCGCAGCCGCUGAGGUCCCCAUUUGCAGUCGCUCAACCCCUGGCUGGACGACCGCGUCCCCGGCACCUUCUCUACACCAGCUCGGCUCCAGGCCGCCGGGGGGCACGGCAGGGCGCGCCCGCGGAGGUCACUGCCCCCUGGGGCCGCGUUGCACUCCGUAGGGAGGAGGAGAGGGCGGGUAACAGAGCACCACGAGGCUCUAAGAAGUGCCGUGUAGGGGAUUAAGACAAGCUGCUGCCACGGAAAGUGAUAAUCGGUUACAUUAGAUCCCGUGGUCAAGGAGGACCUCUGGGGAGGUGCAUCUAAGCUCUGAGACCUGAGCCGAAAGGACAAAGAUGAGGGGGGGAGGGGCACUCCAGGUGGAAGAAAUAGCUCGUCCUGAGGCCCCAGGGUUGGCCUGUGAGCGGCCUAUUCAAAGGAGGCCGGCGGGGCUGGGAUGGGCCCGGGAAGGGGUGAGGGAUGAGGUCAGAGCGGCCGGAUCAAGCUUGAUUCUAAGGCAGCUGGGAAAGCAGUAGGGGGUUAGCACCGAGCAACAUGACCUGAUUUGCCUUUUAAGAGGCUCCCUGUAGCCCGCUUGUGGGGAAGGGGUGGGGUAGGUGCACAGAGAGGUCUAGAUUCAGUACCUCGUUCCCCACCCAUCUGCCCCUCUCUCCAGGUGGAUGUUCAGGAGGGGGUGGUGGGGAGUGGAUGAGCCGGAGAAGCUUAGUUUUUGAGGGUGAAGCCCUAGAGGACCUCAGGGUUCCCAGAACUUGGCCCAGGUGAGCCACUGUUCUCUCCACAGGCCCAACCCCGUGCAAAUGAAUCCGGGUUUGGAGAGGGUUUCAGCUUACACUUGGGGAGGCGGCAAGCCACUCCCCCGUCCCAAGCCAGAUCAAACAGCUCCCUGGAGGUAUCCCCCAAAGGAAGCCCGUGCAGAGAGCUCCUGGAAGAGAAGAGAAAUGAGUGGGGUCACUGGGGACCUCAGCUUGGUGUCCCCAUAUUCCUGCAUGAGGAAGAUGGCCAGAGGAUAGGGGAGGAGGACAAGGCAAUGCUUCUGGAAAUUUAAGACGCCAAGUUCCAGCCCCGGUGCCUCCCUCUCCAAUGUUGUCCUGGUCACCUCUGGAGGCGGGACCCGGCAGCUCUGAGGAGCCCCCUGGUGGCCCAAGCAGUUGCUGCGGCCACACAGGCCAAGGCGCGCUCUCUCCUGGGCAUCCACAGACAUAGGACCUUUCUCAGGGCCCCAGACCUUGUGCCAGGCACUUCGCUGGGUGCCACCAGGGAAACAUCAUCUUCCAACAGCCCUGUGAGGUGGGCGUUACCCCGAUUUAUAGAUGUGAACGCCUGGAGGGGCCUGUCCUGUAUCAUCAGGCUGCUGCUGCAAAUCCACUGUUGGGGAAAGAAGCCAGAGGCAGAGCAUGAACAACAAUGACAUGAAGGCGUAUUUAUUUUUCAAAUAAUGAUCGAGCACGCUGGUGCAUGCAUAAACUCUGGAGGACCAUGCAAGUACCUGGCAUGGCCAGGGGCUUCUGGAAGGAGAGCUGGGGGGCUGGGGUAUAGAGUGGGAACAAACCAUUUUCACUGGGCUUAGUUUUGUGCUUUUUGAUUUUUGAACUAUAUAGAAGUAUUACCUAUACUUAAAAAUUCAUGAAAGACG